GCUUAAUGGCAGUCUUCAGUAUGGGGAGCAAACAGCUAUGGGUCAAGCCUGAUACCUUUAAGAGAAGUCUUAUUGUGAGGGCGAGUUGUAAAACACCAUAGGGCUGGCCGUCCCAUAUGAAAAGAUUUUAUUAGAAUUGAAUGAAACUUUGUUUAUAUAUUGAUAAUGACAGUAUAUAUAUCGUGUCUUGACUAAUUGCGUGCCAGCAGUCGCGGUAAUACGUAAGAGACUAGUGUUAUUCAUCUUAAUUAGGUUUAAAGGGUACCCAGACGGUCUAUAUAGCUUAUAAAAUGUUAGUAUAAGACUAGAGUUUUAUGUAAGAGGGCAGUACUUGAGGAGGAGAGAUGAAAUUUCGUGAUACCAAAGGGACUCUGUAAAGGCGAAGGCAGCCCUCUAUGUAAAAACUGACGUUGAAGGACGAAGGCACAGAGAACAAACAGGAUUAGAUACCCAAGUAGUCUUUGCAGUAAAUGAUGAAUGCCAUAGGUUAGAUACUUAAUGUGAGUAAAUCCCUCUAUACUCAAAAAAAUAUUUGGUCUAUAAAUGAAAGUGUAAGCAUUUCACCUCAAGAGUAAUGC
This 578-nucleotide ribosomal RNA is filed under the name Fusarium brachygibbosum. RNAcentral's name for it is "SSU rRNA". It matches the Rfam family "Bacterial small subunit ribosomal RNA", at positions 335 to 886 of the family's 1533-position model. The record is from RNAcentral. Lineage: Eukaryota; Fungi; Ascomycota; Sordariomycetes; Hypocreales; Nectriaceae.